RNAcentral lists this ribosomal RNA (783 nucleotides) under Procambarus rogersi. Its description in RNAcentral is "partial 28S ribosomal RNA". The stretch from base 308 to 783 matches the Rfam family "Eukaryotic large subunit ribosomal RNA", at positions 665 to 926 of the family's 3401-position model. Lineage: Eukaryota; Metazoa; Arthropoda; Malacostraca; Decapoda; Cambaridae. The record is from RNAcentral.
GGGGACGUAUCAAAGCGACCCAGGAAUGCUUGGGCGUGCCUCCAUCCACGCCGGCGUCGGCGGGCGUAUUUCGCCUCACAGUAGGUCGCCGCGACCCGUUGCUUUUGGGGACGUCGAAGGCCCGGACGGAUUGGUACCCUACCGGCUGGGGAUGCGGCUUCGGCUUCUCCUCUUGUCCGGUGGGCGAAACCGCCGGUGUCCUGGCUGCCCUGCGACGGUCGUAGAGACGAGCCCCUCCCAUUCGUGGGGGGCGGCUCUCGCGGCGUGCAAAAGGUCGGUGAUCCACCCGACCCGUCUUGAAACACGGACCAAGGAGUCUAACAUGUGUGCGAGUCAGUGGGCGCACUAAACCCAGAGGCGUAAUGAAAGUGACACGGGUUCGGCUGUCGCCUCGUGUGGCAGCCGGACUCAGGGCCGAUCCCUCACCGGUUGCCCUCGCCUCUCUCCCGCGUCUCGGUAAGCCGGGUGAGCUAUUUUCCCCGGCCUCUGCUGCGGGGCCCGGGGGGAGGCGGGGUGCGAUGGUGUCCGUAAAAAAGAGCCUGCUGUUGCAGGGGGGCGCAGGCCCGGGACUUGCCAGGACGCCGCGAGACUGUCACUUUGCUGUGAGGCUCCAGGGCCGAUCAGCGGGUCAUGCGUGCAGUCGGCAAGUACCAUGAGCAGACAUGUUGGGACCCGAAAGAUGGUGAACUAUGCCUGGCCAGGAUGAAGCCAGAGGAAACUCUGGUGGAGGUCCGUAGCGAUUCUGACGUGCAAAUCGAUCGUCGGAGCUGGGUAUAGGGGCGA